RNAcentral lists this unclassified non-coding RNA (339 nucleotides) under soil metagenome. Its description in RNAcentral is "partial contains 5.8S ribosomal RNA, internal transcribed spacer 2, and large subunit ribosomal RNA". The stretch from base 1 to 120 matches the Rfam family "5.8S ribosomal RNA", at positions 35 to 154 of the family's 154-position model. The record is from RNAcentral.
GAUGAAGUACGCAGCGAAAUGCGAUACGUAGUGUGAAUUGCAGAAUUCAGUGAAUCAUCGAAUCUUUGAACGCACAUUGCACCUCUCGGUAUUCCGGGAGGUAUGCCUGUUCGAGCGUCAUUUGUACCCUCAAGCUCUGCUUGGUGUUGGGUGUUUGUUCCGCCUCUGUGUGUGAACUCGCCUCAAAACAAUUGGCAGCCGGCGUACUUGUUUCGGAGCGCAGCACAUUUUGCGAUCCAGAUCAACGUACAGCGGCAUCCAAGAAGCCUUAUUUAACGCUCUUGACCUCGGAUCAGGUAGGGAUACCCGCUGAACUUAAGCAUAUCAAUAAGCGGAGGA